Sinocyclocheilus grahami is the source of this 1758-nucleotide long non-coding RNA. Lineage: Eukaryota; Metazoa; Chordata; Actinopteri; Cypriniformes; Cyprinidae. The record is from Ensembl.
GAUUGUAUAAGCAUCAAAGUUAAAGAGAGGAGGUGAAGUGGGUGUCUUUACGUCCAAAAAUUGCCCCAGCUUUAAGAAUACACCAUGAUGAAGUGUUAUGCAUCCUAAGAGGCAUUGCAAGCAGAUAGUCCCAGAUUGUGUAGCUAGAGUGGUCCCUGACCCACAUCAUGCAUAGAGGCAACUCAAGAGGGACCCGUGGCUUGCCCCUUUGUGUCCCAUCUCAUUUAUCCAGCUGUGAGGUUUCGUUGCCAAGGCAACUCAGACACCCACUCUACAGGGUUCGGCUCACCCUUGCUGAGCAGGCACAUUGGUCAAGACCCACUAAAAGCGACCGAACAACAAAAGAGAGAGGGAAAGAAAGAGUAAGCUAAGUUUGGAAGGUCGUCCUGAAUCAAGAAGAGCAGCUGUAGACACCAGCAGCUGGAUUUCACUACCAUCCUAAUGCACAGCACCCUCUCAGACUGACGGGUUUUCACUGGCAGCAAACUGGCAGAGAGAAAGAGAGCUCACACAGGUGGGCCAGCAGCAGCAUCCCAGAGAUUAUAGAUUUGGAGAUUACAGGACAACAGCAGGUCAGGGCACACUGCCUUGUUGAAAUCCGAGUUCUCCACCUCACCAAUUCCAUUAAGAGCUGUCAUCGUGAAAUUGGCAAGCAAGCCCUGCGACACAACACAUUCACAUGCACUCGGCUGAUCACGUACUCCACUAGCUGCUAGACAGAUGCAGUGUUAGAAGAAAAUUGGAUGCUGUUUUUGUUUGCCUUUUUCUUUAAUCCAGCUCCUUGCCGCUCAAAUCCCUUUUUGUGCUUGAGCUGUUAGAUUCUUUCAAUCAUCUUUGUUGCUUAUUUUUAUUUGGUUAAUUUUUAUUAUCCACUGACCUGGAGAGAGUCAAAGUGCUCAAAUUAUCAAACCAUGAUGGCAGAAUAUCCUAAAGUGCUUAUCUAGACUGGAAUGUUCAAACCACACAGUUAGGAAGGGAAACUGUUGGAACCAGAGGUUCCUCAUAUUUGAAUCUUCAAGCUGCUUUCAUUGAAGACACCAUAAAGACCAAGGGACAAACGCAGUGGCAUGUCUCCACACUUAAAGUAACUCACAGGAUACGCAACUACCGCUACAUGAAUGAGACUGAAAGAAUUUGAAGAGUGUUGUAGAAUGUAAAGCUAUUCAAGAUGUCUGCAAAAGAGCUUCAUUACAAGACUGGGAGAAAACUCCACCCAUUUCCACCUCUGGUUGCGAAGUUCGACAAGGUGGCUCGCUAGACAGAGCGUACGGCUACGGACAAACUGGAUUACAGUGACAAACUUGGACUCAUAGAGGACUGUAAUAGAACAGACACGGUUGACAGCCUAGCUUGUCUGGCACUGAGAUGUCAAAACCACAGAGGGGGCUAUUCCUCCAACUGUCACUGCAAGGAGAAUAGAGCCGAUCACACACACGCCUACUAGCAGACUGAUUUUUAGAGCCGAAAGACUGGUGUGUGUUUGAACCGUGGCAGUAUAGACAGUUCAAAAGCGUGAAAGAAAGAGCUGGAGGAGAUCCCAUAGUGUAGGGGGAAGAGAGCGAAAAUAAAGAGCGGUAAAAGUCUCCACGGCAGCGGUGACACAUUGAAAGAGAAGACUGUGACAGACUGGAGAUCAUCGGUGGCAGUUCACAGGCGCACAGUUUUGUGAGAUUCACACACUUUUGGGAUUAAAGCCUGUGUCGCUCAGUACACCGAGUAGUACUGAGUCCAGUUUGGUCACGGUGGCAGGGGCCGGUU